Long non-coding RNA from Carassius gibelio (silver crucian carp), 5505 nucleotides. RefSeq lists it as uncharacterized. The transcript is spliced from 2 exons. The record is from RefSeq and is a predicted model, not a curated record. NCBI's taxonomy places the organism in Eukaryota, Metazoa, Chordata, Actinopteri, Cypriniformes, Cyprinidae.
GUAUUACUUUUGAAGGAGUGGAUGCCGAUUUGCCAUAUCCUUCAUACUGAUAUUAAUUAUUUUAUUACAUGAUUUCUUGUUUGACUAUUAAUCAAGUUAUAGCAAGAGUGAAAUGUGUAACCUUAUGUGUGCUGUAUUUCUUUUCCUCAAGAUUAAUGUCCACAUAUUAUGUGUGUGUAUCCAACCGUAAUGAUAAGACACUCGCCAGUGCUAGAAAGCCUUGAAUUUUAGAUAAGUUCUCUGUGUACGUGUGUUAGUAUCUGUCUGUACAGGGAGAAGCUCAGACAGUCCCAGGACAAACGAUCAACUGCCAGUGUCCAGCAUAUCAGAUAUACGUCUUUGGAGAGUUUAUCUAGGUUUUGGAACCAAUCAGAAUUUUGUUGACUCAUGUAUUGACGCAAUUAGUAUCCUCUGUCAGGGUAUAACUGUGGUUGAUUUUGUAUUGUACUGGGGGGCGGCCUGCGAACUCCUUCGAGAGUGUUGAAGCUGACUUCUGCUGAUGAAAUUGCUAACUAUUUUCUUCAAGUAAAAUUAUUAUUAUUAAUUGAACUCAUAUCUGAGUCCUGGUCUUCAUUGCGACAUAUCUGGUCCUUGGGUUUUAACUGUAAAUUCCCCUACAGUUAAUGGUGGAGGAUCGGCGGGCAAUAGUUCUUUGUUGACAUCCCUGAUCAAUCAUCAAACCAAGGUAGGAAAGAUUUUAGAUUUAAUAUUAUUGGUAGGGACUGUCUGUAAGUGGAGGGGGUCGAGAGAAGGAGGAACGAUAGACUCACUCAGACGUGAGGGGGUAGACACCAGCUCCAGGGUGGAGUAGGUAAAUUGGUGUCACAAUAUACCUGUAAAUAAGUAACCUUGUGAGUAUAAGGGGUACAAGUACACAUCGGUAGGUCUUGAUAUAAGAUAUUUAGAGAUGUGUACAGUUACAGAGGGAACAGGUGCACACCUAUAGGUCUUAGAGAGAGACGUAAAAAUUUGUUUCUAGGUGUGCACAGUCCAGGGGGGGACAAAAACGCAUUCUUAACAGGCAUGUGAACCAGUAAAGGGCAGUGCUGGGUCAAGCACCGAGGGACAAGGGACACAUAGAGCCGUAAAUAGGCAGUGCUGGGUCAAGCACAGAAAGCCGAAAAGCACGAGAGGCCAUAAAGGGCAGUGCAUUUACGGCCAGGGUAAGCCAAAGUAGGGGUAUGGGAAAUCCCGAGAAGAAUGUAAGACGCUAGACGGGGGUUCUAGUCGUAUCUCGCUCUUCCAACUCUUGAUCACCCACCAUUACAGACAGGGGCGCCCCGAGCUUAGAAAUAGGCCAGGUCAGUGGUUAGGGAAAAGAGUAUCCAAAAUUAGUGUUUAAAAAUAAAUAGUGAUAAUUCAUAUGUGCACCUAUAAAAAUAUAGGGAUAUAUGCAAAGGGAAAGUAUUGAUUGAUCUGGGAUGCCUUAGGAACAACCCCAAAAGAGCUAAAAUGUAGUUUUCAUGACCCUGAUUGGAUUGGACCAGUAUAUGGAAAUUCUGGAAUAUACUUUGCAAUUUCAUCACGCAGAAGUCAAGUGCUGUUGGUAAGAUCGCCGCCUCAAUAUGUUUUUGGUUUAUGAUAGAAAUAUGACUGACAAAUUAGGUAACCUGGUCAGCCCUGAUAGAAAUAAUGAAACAGAAGAGAGCAAAUGCUGUAAACAGUUUGGCUCUGAAGCUCUGACUUUAAAAAAAUAUAUAUAUUCUCUGAAUUCAUUUAAAGAAUGAUCAGUCUGAGCUUUAAUUCUGAUUGUAAUGUUAAAACAAAAACUUGAUUGGCUUUAAACUUAGAAAGAACCUGAGAAAUAAACAUUUAUAAAUGUAUGUGCCGAUUUGUUAAAAAUAAUCCCAGAAGUAACUGAGUGAUGAUUUAAUCUGAUUCUCUGUGCAUAGAAGGUUUAAAUGACAAAGAAUGAUAUCAUAAGACCUGUUCCAGUUCCUAUAUAAUUGUUGAAAGUCCUGACAAGGAAUACUGAACAGAAUUCUGGGUUAGUGAAAAAAAAAAAAAACUGUAGGCACACAAAUUGGCAGUGGCAUUUUGGAAAAACUUAGAAGCUUAUGUUUUGUUAAAAAAGAUAAAAUUACUUUGACUACAAUGAAGCCGUUGUUUUAUCUCAUGCUGGCCCCCACCAUGACUCUGGCUUAAGCUUUGAAAGUACCAGAGACAUGUUCUGAGUAAAAAAAAAAAAAUGUAAUUUCUAUAUUUACUAAUGUUUGGCCAAAAGAGUAAUUUUAUUGUUGGAUUGCAAAAUUAUAGUUACGCAGCAUCAUAAAAAAAGAAAAAAGAAGAGAAAAGAAAAUUAUUUUUUGUUUAUGAGAUGAUAAAGUUGUAAACAAGUAACAUAAACGGGGGUUUCAAAGUAACUUUGAAGACAGCAUGCUAGCAAGACCCAAAGUAAUAUACCUGGGUCAGAUAACCUCUGACAGAUUUAAAACCAAUGUUGAAAUUCAGAAGCCAUGGCCAGAAUUAAGUGAAUGGAUAAAUACAAGUUGAUGUAAAAGUAAUGACAAUGACUGCAAAGAACUUUGAGAAACAUUUGAGUUGCGAAAAUAAAGUAAAAAUACAAAUAUAAAGAUGUUUAUUUUUAAAAUGCAUAUAAUUUCUGACAAGUUUUAAACUGGGCUAGAGUAAAAUGAUAGUACGAUGAAAUUAUGUUAAAAAUGAAUGAAAAUGCAUUGUUACGAGUCCUGAAUCCCUCAGAGUUCUCUCUCUCUCAUUCAAAGUAAGCUAAAAUGCCGUUAUCUGAGCUUGUGUUUAAGUGAUAAGAUAUUUAUAGUACAGCACAGUGUUUCAGUCAAAUCAUAGGCAGAGAUGCUAAAGGACAUGCUAAAAAGAGUUCAGAUUUAAUGCAUUAAGAGGGCAAUUGGUAGUUAAAUGUUCAACUGCCCAAUGCAUGUAAGAAAUAAGAGAUUAUAAAAAUAAUGAAUAACAAUAAGCAAUUGUUGAAGAGACAUGAGGUCUUUAAAAUCAUAAUACAGACCCUGAGCUAUAGAUGUAAUAAUUUUGCAUAGUUAAACAGUUGUAUUGCUAUUUGUUCUAUGACCAGUAACUUAUCUGUCUUAUUUUUAGUCUCCACCAUCAUACAGGGCCUGAUGGCUGCAGCUACAGAAGCAACAGAAAAUUACAAUGAAUGGACGGGUGUGAAAAAUAAAUUCACUGAGUAAUCUCAGCAUGAUAGUUUGGAGGUAUCCAAUUGAGUUUAGCGAUUAAAUAUUAGUUUGAUUAACCUUUUUCAAUGUUUUAACACUAGUAGGUGCUGUCAAUGGCUCUCAUGGUUCUUGAGUGCACCUUUCCUAAGCUGCAGGAAAUACUGGAUUCUGGAAGAAGACUGUCGAGGAUGUUGCAACGGGAAAGAGUGGUUACCAGUGUGCAUGAGGUGAUUUCUCAAUGACGGGUAAGAUCCUCUUCUGGCCAAUAGGGGACAACCUAAGGCAGGGGGUCACCGCCACUGGGCACCUGCCCUGAAGGGAGGUGUUAUAUGUGAGAUGGUAGUGGAGUUGAGCGGAUGCUUGAUAGGCCUAGAGCAUCAUUAAGAGGGGAACUGUAGGAAGUACAGCAAUCUGCCUCAAAAUGUGAGCUCCUCCAGACCUGAUCACCAGCAACCGCAUUCCUUGACUGAUUGUUGUGACAAGCGUCCACAACUUGAUGCAACUAUGCCAGGGGAUCACACCCUGAGGACAAGGAGCUUAUUUAUAAAGAGUUAAUGGCAAUGGGCUUUCAAGAACCAUCUGAGACCAUGUGAUGACAGCCAUUAUUUUGAGACAAAAAUUUCUUAUGAGGCUAAAAUGAUAUUGAACUAAUAUGUCUAUAUCAUAGUCUUUACUCAUGCAGGUCAUUAGGAAUGACACAAGAUGAUAACAAGAUAUGGUGGUGGCUAAAAAUGAAGACUGCUUCUGCUUAAUCAAGAGAUGGUUUAGAUAACAAAGGUUAAGGGAAUUAAGCAUGUAAGGUAAAAAUAAUUUUAAAGAAAUGUUCCUAGCAUUAUGUAUUUUAAACAGUUUAAACUGAGAUUUUAGAUCUAGAAACUUUGACAUUUUUAACUUAUUUGAAUAAUUUAGGGUUAUAUGUUGUAAUGAAUUUUAUAUUAUAGUCUAAGUUAAAGUUUGGCAAAAAUUGUCAAAAUAAAUAAAUAAAUAAUAUUUUGCACAGUAAGAGAGAGAGAGAGAGAGUGCUUGAGUGGAGGCAGGGAUAGUGCUCUUCUUCUAUUAUUGGCCUGCUAAGAAAGAGUAACCAAAACAGAGCAAUAAUUUUAAGACCAAAACAACAGCUGAUUUUUCUCAAAAUAAAAAAUCAUUAAUGAACAGGCAAACUUUGAGAUUAGAUAAGAGAUUAGGUACAAACUUGGUAAAAUGCACAGACAAUGUUUGAGUUUAAAUCCUUCCGAUUUAAUACCAAAAGGAAAACCUUAAAUAUGAGCUGUUAAAAUAUAAAUGUGUUAAGUAUGUGCAUGCAUGAGGAUGGCUAUAUAUAUAUUAUUGGGGGACAAUUCUGUUCCUGUUUUGUUUCAAUUGAGUCACUAACCUCUGGAAUGAGUGUUUUAUCAUUACAGAUGUGUUAAGUGAAAUUACUUUACAGAAGUCGAUAAUUCUGAGUGAAACUAAUGAAAAGACAAUGCCGAACAUGGGACGAGCUUGAAGUGGAUUGGUUAUCCAGCUCUGUCUGCUACUGGUAAUAAUGACUUGUUUUGUCUUUUAUAAUGCUGAUUUAAAUCACUCUCUGGAUUAAUAUGUUAAAGAGUGUUUAUAUGAUUGGAUUUGUGAAAUUUAAGUUUGCCGUCCAAAAUGGGUUUAAAAUCCAUGCCUAAAUUUAAAUGAGGGUCUAAAUUUUAACAAGUUAACACUUUGUUGUUUGAAUGGUGAAGGUAAAUAUUUUAGACUUGACGGCAGAAAAACAGUGACAGAUUGGCUACGUCACUAACCAAAUUAUCCAGAGAGCACCCUCACAUAAAGAAGCCUGGUGGGAAAACAAAGGAGUGAAUCCUGCUUGUGUAAUAUAGUGCAAAAGCUUUAUGUAGUGGUUUAUGUAGAACAGAGAUAAGUUGAACAAAAACGUGUGGAUAGCCCCUUAAUGGAGCAAAUCCAUAACAAGAGGUUUGAAUUAAUUGAAAUAGCACAGCAAAAAAAAAAAAUAAUAAUAAUAAAUUUUGUUUGAACAAAACAAUUGUAAUAGGCUCUAUGGAGCUGCUUAUGAACACCUGUCAGGGCUUUUUGAUAAUGUAUACUGUUUCAAUACAGAUUUACAGAAACUGAGGAUGUCUCUUUAAUAAAUAUUUGGGCGUUUAGAACUAAGUAAUAGUAUUGUUCAUUUAGUAAUAGUAUUGGGAAAUCUGUGUGCUCUUUUUCAGUUUAUAAUAAUUUUGAGUAAAUAAAUAUCACUGCCAAAUGACAAACAUGAACAAAGGUUUUAAAGACAUUGAUCACGUAGCUGAUGUGUAAGCAUUUCUAACUGACAAAACAGUGAGAACUAAAUUGACUUAAUACGAGGUAUUGAGGAUUUGCUUCUGAA